GACGGAGGGUGCAAGCGUUGUUCGGAAUUACUGGGCGUAAAGCGCGGGCAGGUGGCCCUUUAAGUCCUUUGUGAAAUUCCGGAGCUCAACUCCGGAUGUGCAUAGGAUACUGGAAGGCUAGAGACUGGUAGAGGCGAGCGGAAUUCCCGGUGUAGCGGUGAAAUGCGCAGAUAUCGGGAAGAACACCUAUGGCGAAGGCAGCUCUCUGGGACGGUACUGACGCUGAGACGCGAAAGCGUGGGGAGCGAACAGG
RNAcentral lists this ribosomal RNA (253 nucleotides) under uncultured bacterium. RNAcentral's name for it is "partial 16S ribosomal RNA". It matches the Rfam family "Bacterial small subunit ribosomal RNA", at positions 524 to 776 of the family's 1533-position model. The record is from RNAcentral.